This is a long non-coding RNA of Homo sapiens (human), 2217 nucleotides long. RefSeq lists it as uncharacterized. NCBI's taxonomy places the organism in Eukaryota, Metazoa, Chordata, Mammalia, Primates, Hominidae. The record is from RefSeq and is a predicted model, not a curated record. The transcript is spliced from 3 exons.
CCUGGCCUCAAAUGAUCUGCCCACCUCAGCCUCCCAAAGUGCUGAGAUUACAGACGUGAGCCACCGCGGCCGGCCAAUCUCAUAGUCAAUGUUAAUGGAUGCCACUCCAUGUCAGGCACUGUGCCUGAGUUGGGGAAAAGAGGCAGUGCCUGCCCUCAGUAAACUCCUAAGUUGGGAGGGAGAAGUGUGGGAGACAGGGAUAUCCACAUGGUGCACUAACUGCUGUGGCUGACAUCCUCACAGUGGCUACUGAAGCACCAUGGAGUGGCUGGUGACUAGGAAGACUUCCUGAAGACGAGGAUGCUACAAAUGGGGCAAGAAGGAGUUUUCCUGGCAGGCAUGUGGAAGAGAUCCAGGCUAAGGACAUAGUUAAAUAAAAGUGUGUGACAUGAAGUUGUUCCUAAUUCCUACUUUGCAGUUGAAGAAACAGAGGCCCACAGAGAGAUGCCGGGUCUACCUCAAAUCUGAUCUGAGGCUAGGUCAGAAAGGCCAUGCAGCUUCUGCCUGAUUCUACACUAAGACCGCCAUGCUGGAGAGUGUGUGCACCUAACCUAUAGAGAGGUGUUCCAGUCCAUGGUCCAGCUGACAUCCCAGCUAACAGCCAGAGCCAAUUGUCAGCCAUGGGAGUGCGCCAUAUUGGAUAUUCAGCCCAGUUGGGUUGGCUGCAGAUGGCUGCAGCCCUGGCCAACUUCUGAAUGCAACCACAUGAGAGACCCCAAGCUAGAGCUACAUGGCCAAGCUGCUUCUGAAUUCCUGACUCACAAAACCACAAAAUAAAAUGGCUGUUUGGAACCUUGACAUUUUGGAGUAACUCCUUACACAGCAAUAGUAACCAGGACAAAGGGCAAAGAGGGAAUGUGGACUAAUGAAGGCAUCUCCUGAGGCUUUCCAGAGCCUCAAAACACAGUUUGGCACAAAGGCUUUUUAAAAUGGAGAUUGCAUGAGCCUGGAGGAGGUGUGGCCUAACCCUUUGUCAUCUGAAGGGGCAGCACAAGAAAACUCUGAAAUGGAAUAAACUCGGGGCAGAUGGAGGUGGUGACAAAGGGGAGGAUUGGAUGAGCGCAUCUCUCCAUAUUCAGUUGAUUGAAAAAAUCAACUGUACGUCUGCCCUUCUGGCAGGACCUCUGCAGAAGUGAGGAGCUUUGCAGUGAUUCUAGAAGGAAGGAAGCUCAUGGAUACAAGCUUGUGAUUAGCAAGAAGUUAUACAUGGCUGAUUGGAGAGAAAUGCGAUUAGAGAUUUUUAAAACCCAAACGUCAAAUGUUGAAGAAAGUGCUCAAGGGUUGCAGACAGAGCUGGGAAUGGGGUUGGACAUGCCUGUGGUCCAUUGCUGGUCACAUUUGCUCAGAAUGUCCCUGCAAGCAGAAAAUGCAGGACCUCAGCAAGAAGGUUCAGAAAGUACCCUGUUCCCCUAACAAACUCCAGGUGCAUCUGCAUCUGGCUUCUGCACACACUUCUGAAUGGCCAACUUGGAAAAACUCAGAGGAAAGGAACCAGGUAGGUGAUAAGGAAUGGGUGUGGCUUGGGAGAGUGGGAGUGUAGGGGUGGAAAGGAUAGUGUGAGGACAGGGUUCUUGGUUUCAACCUAUUAAUCCUAGAGAAGCAAAAGAUGGGGAUGACCAAAAUCUAAAAAGAGAGAGAAAUAGAAACUUUACAGUGGAGAAUCCCAACAGAUACCACUUUAGCCAAGUUAUCAAGUUAGCAUCACUGAUAAUACAUAUCAACACUAUGAUAUAGUGCUCUGAGAAGGUAAUAUCACCUCUGUGUUAUCCUCACUCUAAUCAUGAGAAAUCAUGACACAAACCCAGAAUGAACCUUUUACAAAAUAACUGACAGUAUUCUUGAAAAGAGUUAAGUCAUGGAAGGCAAGGAAAGACUCAGGAUACAGUGAAGGAUACUAAGUAGGCAUGAAAACUAACUGCCAAGUGGGAUCCUCAGUUAGCUACUGGAAAAGGAAUAGAACACUAAUGGACAAACUUGAGAAAUCUAAAUGCCAUACUUUUGUUAAUAGCGUUUGUGUAUCAACAUAUCAAGGUUAAUUUCCUGGUUUUGUUCUAUGGUGAUGUAAGAUGUUAAUGUAAGGGAAAGGUGGGAGAAGUGUUUAUGAAAACUGUCUGUACUAUUUUCGUGACUCUUUGGUACAUCUAAAAUUAACUCCGCAGGAGUGGUGGCUCACUCCUGUAAUCCCAGCACUUUGAGAGGCCGAGACAAGAAGAUCAC